RNAcentral lists this long non-coding RNA (688 nucleotides) under Lepidothrix coronata (blue-crowned manakin). RNAcentral's name for it is "lncRNA (ENSLCOG00000006757.1)". Lineage: Eukaryota; Metazoa; Chordata; Aves; Passeriformes; Pipridae. The record is from RNAcentral.
GCCUUUUCAAGUGUCUGCUUACUGAUACCUCUGCCACAGGCUUCAGGGUUUGUUUUUGCAAGUUUUUUGCACAUUACGUUUAGCAAGCCUGUUUGUGUGUGACCACUAGAGUCAGACUCCUUUGGCUCUCUCCUGGUACCUGAUGGAAGCAAAUGGGGCUUGUCAAACUCCAGAGGUCCUGACAAGUGCUGUAAAGUCAUGUACUUGUCCAGAAGACUGGGAAUGAUGAUGAGUUUGAAAAGGAAUCCAGAGAUAGCCUGUGAAUUCCCCUGUCCAUGGCUGAAAAAGACUAUCUCCGCAUUUGGGAACAGCCAAGAAGAAGCACAGUUCCUGGUCAGACACUGGUUUCCCAUCCUGAGACAUACAGACAGUUGGUCAGGUCUCCUGCCACCACCAGAGUGGAAGAAGGGACUGUCCUGCCUUGCUUUAAUCCCAGUGUUUCCCAAAGAAGUAAUGACAGGCUCUGGUUGUCGACCCUCUCUAUCCUCAUCAGAUCCUGAACCAAGCGCUUCUGAAACUCUAGUUCCCGUAAAUAAAUUAUUACUAUGAAAUUGCAAAUUCUAAUUACUAAAAAAGAGAAGAACCCUAAACUUCUCUGAGUUAUUGAAGAGCUUGGCCAAAUAAGCCAGAAAAGCUUUAAAAUGAGAUGAUAAAUAAAGCAAUAAAACUUACUCGGAAGAAAACCCUU